Molecule: non-coding RNA, 164 nt
Filed under: Selaginella moellendorffii
Lineage: Eukaryota; Viridiplantae; Streptophyta; Lycopodiopsida; Selaginellales; Selaginellaceae
Description: Eukaryotic large subunit ribosomal RNA
Rfam family: Eukaryotic large subunit ribosomal RNA
Source: Rfam by way of RNAcentral
UUUCCCUCAGGAUAGCUAGAGCUCAUCUACAGAGUUUCAUCAGGUAAAGCAAAUGAUUAGAAGCCUUGGGGGCAAAAUGCCCUUGACCUAUUCUCAAACUUCAAAUAGGUGAGAUGCUCCAUUGAACCCUUCCAAGUAGGGCCAUUCUUGGUUAAGCAGAUCAA